Molecule: ribosomal RNA, 567 nt
Filed under: uncultured Diversispora
Lineage: Eukaryota; Fungi; Glomeromycota; Glomeromycetes; Diversisporales; Diversisporaceae
Description: SSU rRNA
Rfam family: Eukaryotic small subunit ribosomal RNA
Source: RNAcentral
UUGGAGGGCAAGUCUGGUGCCAGCAGCCGCGGUAAUUCCAGCUCCAAUAGCGUAUAUUAAAGUUGUUGCAGUUAAAAAGCUCGUAGUUGAACUUCGGGGUCUACCCAUUGGUCAGGCUUAAUUGUCUGCACUGGUGAGAUGGAUCUCUACCUUCUGAGGAACUUUCAUGCCAUUUAUUUGGUGUGGUUGGAAAUCAGGACUGUUACUUUGAAAAAAUUAGAGUGUUUAAAGCAGACUAUCGUCUGAAUACAUUAGCAUGGAAUAAUGAGAUAGGACGGACUGAUUCUAUUUCGUUGGUUUCUAGGAUCACCGUAAUGAUUAAUAGGGAUAGUUGGGGGCAUUAGUAUUCAAUUGUCAGAGGUGAAAUUCUUGGAUUUAUUGAAGACUAACUACUGCGAAAGCAUUUGCCAAGGAUGUUUUCAUUAAUCAAGAACGAAAGUUAGGGGAUCGAAGACGAUCAGAUACCGUCGUAGUCUUAACCAUAAACUAUGCCGACUAGGGAUCGGACGAAGUUAAUUUUAUAAUGACGCGUUCGGCACCUUACGGGAAACCAAAGUGUUUGGGUUC